AAAAAACUUUUUAAAAACCAAUAAAUUUUCAAUUGUUUUUAAAUAUAAUUGGGUAGUUGCAGUCAAAAAGGAGCCCAGAGUGACAGUUUCCCGACGGUCGCUGUUCUAUUUAACACUGUAAUAGAACCGCAACAUUAUGGGAAAAGACAGAA
This is a small nucleolar RNA of Dromiciops gliroides (monito del monte), 152 nucleotides long. NCBI's taxonomy places the organism in Eukaryota, Metazoa, Chordata, Mammalia, Microbiotheria, Microbiotheriidae. The record is from RefSeq and is a predicted model, not a curated record.